RNAcentral lists this ribosomal RNA (859 nucleotides) under uncultured Bacillota bacterium. Its description in RNAcentral is "bacterial SSU rRNA". Lineage: Bacteria; Bacillati; Bacillota. The record is from RNAcentral.
GAGUUUGAUCAUGGCUCAGGACGAACGCUGGCGGCACGCCUAACACAUGCAAGUCGAACGGAGAUAUUUUGGUUUACUGAGAUAUCUUAGUGGCGGACGGGUGAGUAACACGUGAGCAACCUGCCUCUGAGAGAGGGAUAGCUUCUGGAAACGGAUGGUAAUACCUCAUAACAUAACGAAGCCGCAUGACUUUGUUAUCAAAGAUUUACCACUCAGAGAUGGGCUCGCGUCUGAUUAAAUAGUUGGUGAGGUAACGGCUCACCAAGUCGACGAUCAGUAGCCGGACUGAGAGGUUGAACGGCCACAUUGGGACUGAGACACGGCCCAGACUCCUACGGGAGGCAGCAGUGGGGAAUAUUGCACAAUGGGGGAAACCCUGAUGCAGCGAUGCCGCGUGGAGGAAGAAGGUUUUCGGAUUGUAAACUCCUGUCUUAAAGGACGAUAAUGACGGUACUUUAGGAGGAAGCUCCGGCUAACUACGUGCCAGCAGCCGCGGUAAUACGUAGGGAGCGAGCGUUGUCCGGAAUUACUGGGUGUAAAGGGAGCGUAGGCGGGAUGGCAAGUCAGAUGUGAAAACUAUGGGCUCAGCCCAUAGACUGCAUUUGAAACUGUUGUUCUUGAGUGAAGUAGAGGUAAGCGGAAUUCCUGGUGUAGCGGUGAAAUGCGUAGAUAUCAGGAGGAACWUCGGUGGCGAAGGCGGCUUWCUGGGCUUUUUACUGACGCUGAGGCUCGAAAGCGUGGGGAGCAAACARGGAUUAGAUACCCUGGUAGWYCMCGCUGUAAACGAWUGAUACUAKGUGUGGGGGAAUGACCCCUUUCCKUGCCGCAKUUAWCCAWUAAGUAUUYCACCUGGGGAGUA